Molecule: ribosomal RNA, 774 nt
Filed under: uncultured bacterium
Lineage: Bacteria
Description: bacterial SSU rRNA
Rfam family: Bacterial small subunit ribosomal RNA
Source: RNAcentral
AGAGUUUGAUCCUGGCUCAGGACGAACGCUGGCGGCGUGCUUAACACAUGCAAGUCGAACGGUGAAAGGAAGCUUGCUUCCUGGAUCAGUGGCGAACGGGUGAGUAACACGUGAGCAAUCUGCCCUUGACUCUGGGAUAAGCGUUGGAAACGACGUCUAAUACCGGAUACGACCCUCGGAGGCAUCUCCUGGGGGUGGAAAGAAUUUUGGUCAAGGAUGAGCUCGCGGCCUAUCAGCUUGUUGGUGAGGUAAUGGCUCACCAAGGCGACGACGGGUAGCCGGCCUGAGAGGGUGACCGGCCACACUGGGACUGAGACACGGCCCAGACUCCUACGGGAGGCAGCAGUGGGGAAUAUUGCACAAUGGGCGCAAGCCUGAUGCAGCAACGCCGCGUGAGGGACGACGGCCUUCGGGUUGUAAACCUCUUUUAGUAGGGAAGAAGCGAAAGUGACGGUACCUGCAGAAAAAGCACCGGCUAACUACGUGCCAGCAGCCGCGGUAAUACGUAGGGUGCAAGCGUUGUCCGGAAUUAUUGGGCGUAAAGAGCUCGUAGGCGGUUUGUCGCGUCUGCUGUGAAAACCCGAGGCUCAACCUCGGGCCUGCAGUGGGUACGGGCAGACUAGAGUGCGGUAGGGGAGAUUGGAAUUCCUGGUGUAGCGGUGGAAUGCGCGAUAUCAGGAGGAACACCGAUGGCGAAGGCAGAUCUCUGGGCCGUAACUGACGCUGAGGAGCGAAAGCAUGGGGAGCGAACAGGAUUAGAUACCCUAGUAGUCC